Molecule: ribosomal RNA, 253 nt
Filed under: uncultured bacterium
Lineage: Bacteria
Description: partial 16S ribosomal RNA
Rfam family: Bacterial small subunit ribosomal RNA
Source: RNAcentral
UACGUAGGCAGCAAGCGUUGUUCGGAAUUACUGGGCGUAAAGAGUGUGUAGGCGGUGCUCUAAGUUUGGUGUGAAAUCUCCCGGCUCAACUGGGAGGAUGCGCCGAAAACUGGAAUGCUUGAACAUGGGAGAGGAAAGCGGAAUUCCUGGUGUAGCGGUGAAAUGCGUAGAUAUCAGGAGGAACACCUGCGGUGUAGACGGCUUUCUGGACCAUUGUUGACGCUGAGACACGAAAGCGUGGGUAGCAAACAGG